GACAGAGGUGCCGAGCGUUAGGCGGAAUCACUGGGCUUAAAGCGUGUGUAGGCGGAUCGUUAAGUACCUUGUGAAAUCCCACGGCUUAACCGUGGAACUGCUGGGUAUACUGGCGAUCUUGAGCCACCUAGGGGCAACCGGAACAAGUGGUGGAGCGGUGAAAUGCGUAGAUAUCAUUUGGAACGCCAAUGGUGAAAACAGGUAGCUGGGGAUGUGCUGACGCUGAGACACGAAAGCCAGGGGAGCAAACGGG
This 253-nucleotide ribosomal RNA is filed under the name uncultured bacterium. Its description in RNAcentral is "partial 16S ribosomal RNA". It matches the Rfam family "Bacterial small subunit ribosomal RNA", at positions 524 to 776 of the family's 1533-position model. The record is from RNAcentral.